RNAcentral lists this ribosomal RNA (464 nucleotides) under Vreelandella stevensii. RNAcentral describes it as "partial 16S ribosomal RNA". It matches the Rfam family "Bacterial small subunit ribosomal RNA", at positions 338 to 794 of the family's 1533-position model. The record is from RNAcentral. Lineage: Bacteria; Pseudomonadati; Pseudomonadota; Gammaproteobacteria; Oceanospirillales; Halomonadaceae.
CCUACGGGUGGCAGCAGUGGGGAAUAUUGGACAAUGGGCGAAAGCCUGAUCCAGCCAUGCCGCGUGUGUGAAGAAGGCCUUCGGGUUGUAAAGCACUUUCAGUGGGGAAGAAAGCCUUGGGGCUAAUACCCUCGAGGAAGGACAUCACCCACAGAAGAAGCACCGGCUAACUCCGUGCCAGCAGCCGCGGUAAUACGGAGGGUGCGAGCGUUAAUCGGAAUUACUGGGCGUAAAGCGCGCGUAGGCGGUCUGAUAAGCCGGUUGUGAAAGCCCCGGGCUCAACCUGGGAACGGCAUCCGGAACUGUCAGGGUAGAGUGCAGGAGAGGAAGGUAGAAUUCCCGGUGUAGCGGUGAAAUGCGUAGAGAUCGGGAGGAAUACCAGUGGCGAAGGCGGCCUUCUGGACUGACACUGACGCUGAGGUGCGAAAGCGUGGGUAGCAAACAGGAUUAGAUACCCUAGUAGC